AGUGAACGCUGGCGGUAGGCCUAACACAUGCAAGUCGAACGGCAGCACAGUAAGAGCUUGCUCUUACGGGUGGCGAGUGGCGGACGGGUGAGGAAUACAUCGGAAUCUACUUUUUCGUGGGGGAUAACGUAGGGAAACUUACGCUAAUACCGCAUACGACCUACGGGUGAAAGCAGGGGAUCUUCGGACCUUGCGCGAUUGAAUGAGCCGAUGUCGGAUUAGCUAGUUGGCGGGGUAAAGGCCCACCAAGGCGACGAUCCGUAGCUGGUCUGAGAGGAUGAUCAGCCAAGCUGGAACUGAGACACGGUCCAGACUCCUACGGGAGGCAGCAGUGGGGAAUAUUGGACAAUGGGCGCAAGCCUGAUCCAGCCAUACCGCGUGGGUGAAGAAGGCCGUCGGGUUGUAAAGCCCUUUUGUUGGGAAAGAAAAGCAGCAGGUUAAUACCCCGCUGUUCUGACGGUACCCAAAGAAUAAGCACCGGCUAACUU
This 488-nucleotide ribosomal RNA is filed under the name uncultured bacterium. Its description in RNAcentral is "partial 16S ribosomal RNA". It matches the Rfam family "Bacterial small subunit ribosomal RNA", at positions 29 to 503 of the family's 1533-position model. The record is from RNAcentral.